RNAcentral lists this non-coding RNA (30 nucleotides) under Mus musculus (house mouse). The record is from RNAcentral. Lineage: Eukaryota; Metazoa; Chordata; Mammalia; Rodentia; Muridae.
UGACAUCUCUGACUUUCUGGGGUCUCCAUU